GGUGCUCCACUCUGUGCUCAGCUGCUCGGCACAGCCCCGCCUGGCACGCAGCUCCAACAGCGGGUCCUGGAGUAGUCGGUCCCACCCACCCGGUGCGGCGGCCCCUCGGGUUUCAGUCCAAGGGAAAGGACCAGCGCUCCAGAAAGUCCCAGUGACAAAGAAAGACCCUGCCUCAAGAAGAAUAAGGAAGAAGAAGGAAGAGAAGAAGGAAGAGAAGAAGAAGGAGAAGAAGGAGGAGGAGGAGGACAAGGAGAAGAAGAAGGAGGAGGAGGAGGAGGAAGAGGAAGAGGAGAGGAAGAGGACACUUUAAUGUUCAGAUGGGGAAGAAAAAACCUGACUGAGUGAGGUUUGGUGUCCUGUUUCUUAUAGAACAAUUACCUCAUCUUUCCCUCCAUAUUCAUCCUGUGAAGACACUAUGCUUUCUCUAAUAUUCGUAUUUCUCAGGUACCCUGGUACCAUGUUGAAGAGAACUCCAAAACGAUAGAGUUUAUCACCUCAGAGUCCUGCCUGGAACAACAAUCACUGAUUAACUUUGAGUUCUGUUACAGACCCUGUGUAGUGAGUCAUAUGAAGAUGCAAUGAGGAGACAGCUGUCUGUAAACCGGGAAGAUGGCCCUCACCAAAUUCUACCACGCAGCCUUCUGACAUUGAUCUUCUUGACUACAGAAGUCACCAGGAAAUGUCUAAGAAAUGAAUAAAUGAAUGCAUGCAAGCUCGGAGGUCUUGACAAUAACCUACUUCGAGUUUGAAAAUGCAGCACCGGAAUGUUUGCAUUCGACUUACCAGAAGCUUCUCCCUCACCUCUUGGCUGUGAACCUCCAUAGCGCCCUCCCACAGCAUGUCAAAGGUGUUGUUGGAUCAGCAGUCCCCCUAUUCUGGAACAUUUUAUCUUUCUACUUCAUUUGUGUUGUUUGUGUUGGAGGUACCCCGAUCUUACAGAGCUAUUUCUCUGACUUUAGAUGAUGGGCACCCAACAUAAGGUGAGCCAAUUUCUAAACCUGAGACCAGAAUGCAUGUGAGUCAGUUUUUCUCCAGGCAUGGGAAGACAAGUUUUCUGCUACAUGGAGUAAGCCAGACCAUAGAGUAUGAUGUAGAGACCAAAGAACCAAGGAAAGAUAGAGAUAGAGUAGGUAUCCUGACACCAUUUCUAAACCCCUUGUUCCAAUUUUUUAAAAGCCAACGGAGCUCUGCAUAUUUCCUGUUGGGUGAUUCAGCUGUCAAGUGCCCCAAGAUGCUUUCACUAAGUUCUUUAUUCAUUGGCGUUAUGGUCUUAACAAUACCACUGGCUUUUGUCAAUUUGAUGUAGGUUUCUGUCGGUGGGGAAAAAUAAGUCCAAAAUCACACAAUCCAAAUGUACCAGAGAAGCAUGUGGCUGAGUAGACAGUGAUUUGUGGUUAUGACUAAGUCUCUAUUCUAGACACCAUCAUUUCCUCAACUCUGUCACGAAAGAAGCCUAGAAUGUUUGCUUGGGAAUGCAAAUAUUCUUUAAACCGAGAGACAGGUUAUGGUUGUACCAGAAAAGGCAGAGGGAGGCUUUUUACUUUUCAUGUAUAAACUAGAAUAGGUAGUAAAAAUCAUUUUACUGAAUGAACUCUGGCUUUUUUCCUUCAUUUUUCCAAUUCCAUAAAAUCUACAUAGUUCUAAGUUUUGUUGUGAAGAUUAAAUAAUACAAUGAAUGUGAAAUACGUAGCAUAAUUCUUGACAUGGAGUAAUAAAUAUAGCUCUUCUAAUUAUUCCUUUUCUUGUAAAAAUCAUGCCACAGUCUUCUAAUUUUUAAAUCAUUUCUUGUUUCAAAAGUGAAUGUCUUAGAUAAAGCAGAGAUUUACUGUGCCCCCAUCACUCUUGUUAUUUAGGGUUCUAUUAUCAUUUGCUGAAUCACUAAAUCUCCAGUGAUUUGCAUGCUUGGUUUGGUUAAUAAAUAGUAAAAAUAG
Molecule: long non-coding RNA, 1931 nt
Organism: Macaca fascicularis (crab-eating macaque)
Lineage: Eukaryota; Metazoa; Chordata; Mammalia; Primates; Cercopithecidae
Source: Ensembl